This 1758-nucleotide long non-coding RNA is filed under the name Lactuca sativa (garden lettuce). RNAcentral's name for it is "long non-coding RNA (LSAT_LNC004679)". The record is from RNAcentral. Lineage: Eukaryota; Viridiplantae; Streptophyta; Magnoliopsida; Asterales; Asteraceae.
AAAUAAAGUAUCUAAUUUACCCUUCUGCUUUUAAAACCCCUAAACGACGUCUACUCAUCCGUUUAUUCCCUAAAUCACGCCUCUAUUUUCUCUAAUUUGGCAUUCUUGAUUUUUGAAACUAGAUAUCAAUUCAAAUUUAAAAUAAACCUUCGAUUCCUAUAUACGUUUCUCUAGAAAUCACCGCUCAUCUUUUAUUAGAUGGUUUAACCAUCGGUUUUGGUUUUGGGUGUUUGGAAGAUUAAUUUCCUUUUUAUGUUUGUGAUUCUUGCAUAAUUGUCUACAUAUUUGGGCUUGAGGAAGAAAGUGAAAGACUCAGUUCGUUUUCUUCAGUUAGAUCAUCAACAACAUGCUUGGUACUUCCUUGGUACGAUCUUUUUAUCUACUUUCUUCUCUCAUAAAAGGAUCCUUGUAAUCAGUUUUUGAUUCUAAUAUAUCAACAACCACAAUUUUGAUAACCAAUACCAAAUUUGGAAACUUUGGAAGUUCAUAAACGAAAACCUAGAGUCCUAUGUUAAUAAGUUUGGUUCGAAUUUGGAGGAAUAAGAAAAAGAAAUGCAAGAUUUUGUUAAUAUUUUUUAUCUUUACACUAACUCAAGGCUAUCAAACCACCAUCAUUAGACACACCAAUAACAAUUACCUCUUGAUGAGGAUGAACCAAUAGUCAUCUUUUGUGUGAUGUAAAGAUAGUUUAGUUGAAAAUAAGUUGUUUUUCAAAUGGGGCAUUUUGUUAUCUUAUUUCCUUAUUUCAACCUUUUAGUCCGUUUCUUUACACAAUUCUUCACUUUUCUUUGUCCAGAUUUGGUUCAUCCUUAUUGAUUCACAAGAAGGUGUUCGACAUAAACAUAUCAAUUUUUGAACCUCUAUAUGCCUUUUCAGAUACAUAUGGAGAAAGAACGACUAAUAUCAAUUUUUUAAUGUCGGCUAUUUUAAUUUUUUGAACCUCAGUUUACAAAUUGCAAAAUCAUACAUGAGCUUUAAGCUUACUACCAUACAACGAAUCCUUCCUUCUAUAACUUGAUGCCCUAAUCAGCUCAUUUAGCUAAAAAUCAUCUAUAUAUAGGGUUUAUGCCUCAUAUCUCUUCAAGAUAAUAAGUUCCUUAAUCUCUAAAAUCAUGAAAUUUAUAAGUUUCUUGCUUCAGUUUGAAGUGUUAAGAAAAUCUGCAAGUUAAUAAUCUGGAACCAACUACGGUUUUUGUAGGGGCUUCAAAUGGUGAAAAAGGAAAAGAUACAACACAUUAGCAUGUAUCUCAUGCCUGGUGCAACUAGAAUAAAGAAACUUGACAAAAACAUAAGAAAUUGUAGCUAUGAAGCCACAACCAUAGAAUUUUAUCACUGCACUUUUUGAUGGUUGUUUUAGGAUUUGGUGUUAUUAUUGUUAUAUUUUGUUAAACAAUUUCCUACAGCUUUAGUCAAAAGGAUGACACCUUUUGUUGCGUGGUCCAUUGGGAUGCAGGGGCGAUCCUCAUGUCUCUUCCUCUUGUCAGUCUUUGUAAGUUAAUUUGACAAGAUUUUCAUUUUUUAUAAAAGUCAUUUCUUCACUAAUUUUUUUUUCUUGAUUUGGAAUAAGAACCAAGCCCAGGCAUUACAAUUAGCAAUUAAAAUACAAUUCCAAAUGUAUUAUUAUCUACUAAUUCCUCAUUUUAGUUAGAUCCUAUUUUAUCCAUGUAUCCUAACAGAGGAGAAAAUAAGAAAUAUAGCCAUUUACUUUUGUUUGUUUCUCAAAUUAGCAUCUUACUUUACCUAUAUCUUGAUAUUAAU